GAUGAACGCUGGCGGCGUGCCUAACACAUGCAAGUCGAACGGACUCGUUAUUCGAUUUAACUAAUCGAAAGCUGACAUAGUGUUUCUCGGCGCAGCUAAUCCGCAGCCCGAAUGUAAUUCGAGCGAGGACAAGCAAGCGAGGAACAGUAUGUCAGCUAUAAACAGAGUUAGUGGCGGACGGGUGAGUAACACGUUAGUACCUACCCUCUAGUGGGGGAUAACUGCCCG
This 228-nucleotide ribosomal RNA is filed under the name uncultured bacterium. RNAcentral describes it as "partial 16S ribosomal RNA". The record is from RNAcentral.